CUAGAUUCCGGUGAGUGAACCUUGCGUCACGAGGGGCUGUGUGGGGCCCGAAAAGAGCGCCGAGGCGGUCCGGUGAGAAGUACGCAGGAUACGCAGUCCUGCUGGUUAAAGGGACAAUUAUUUGUUUGUUGGCAAAAGCAUUUUACACCGUUUUCGUUUCCAGUGGGUCGGAGGAAGACGGUUGAUUCCCGAGGGGUAGGAUGGGCCGUUGAUGCGUCGGCUGACUUUCCCACACCAGAUCAGCGUGUUCACCUCUGGAGAACUCAGGGCCCAGAGAAAAUCAGGAAAACCUCAAUCAUGAGAAAGACAUCACACCCAAAUUGAGAGACGUUCUACCACACACCUGACUGGUGGUCUUCACGAGUCUCAAGGUCAUGAAAGACCAAGAAAGACAGGAUUGGAGGAGAGUGAGGAGACACAACAGGACAGUUCAAUACAGUUGGCUCUCCUGGGUCAGCUUCGGGACCAGAGAACGGACGUUAAUGGGAAAACUGGUGGAUUCAGGGCAUCCUUACGGCAAAACACCUCUGAGAUCGCUCAGCCUAAUGCCCUCUGUUAUCCUGACAAAUGCGAAAAAAGUUUCAAACAAACGUGUCUCCCCAUCACGACGCCAUCAGGAGAACUCAGGCUGUGGUGUCGCCGAGAACAUUCCUGAAAGAAGUCAGGACACAGGUUUUCCGAGAUGCAGCGAGGCUCGGUGUUCCUCCCUUCCCGGCGUGGGAUGGUCACCCCCUGACCUCUGCUCUUCCGGGUCACGGGACCACACUUCCCACGGUGGGUCCCAUCCUCGUGGUGUGGGUGGGACCAUCUGGCAGCCCCUGCCCGUAAGCUCUGCCCCGACAGCAAAGCCGCUGGGCGCCCUCCCCGCUCCCCGCUCCCCGCUCCGGGCCUGAUCUAGGACGCGCGGAGCUCUGGGCCAUCUUCCCGCUCAGUGUGCCUCUCCCACGUGCUUCCUGUGAACCCGGACCCCCAGGGCCACCUGCCUGCCUGGCCUCUGCACCCACACGGUGAGCGGGCAUCCCAGAUUUCACGUGUCCAGACCAAACUUCUGAUUUCCCGCGUGCCCCCAGCCCAGCCCACUCCUCCCUCGUGUCCCCAUCUCAGGAAAUGGCGUCGCCAUCCACCGAGCACAGAGCCCGGGACCGUGCCCGUCCGCUCUGUUUAACGCGCGCGCCACGUCCACCUGACGGCACGUCCCGACGUGUCACCUGGCGGUGUGUCCUGACAGCGCUGCCUCCGAGACGUGUCCCAACCCGAGGAGGCUGAGUCUCGUCCCGCCCCCGUCACAUCCUGCCUAGACCUGCAACGGUCCCCCGACGGGGCUCCGCCCGCACCCUCCUGGCCACGGUCACCCAACCACACGGUGCGGGCCGCCCCGCCUUACUGCCUCGCAGGCGCUCGGCCAGGCAGACAAGGAGCGCGAGCAAGAGCAGGGGGUGGGGGUCCCCCGAGGGAGUUCCGAGUCCAGUACGACCUCAGUAGCUGCCACAGCCUGGGCCAGGCGCCUCUCCCACGCGCAAAUCUCGGCCGUGGCGCCUCGUCCUACCGGGCGCCACGCCGUCGGGCACGGGCCCAGAAAGCCGAGGCCCCCUUGGGACGACGAGGCGGAGCUCUCGGGGACGGUCGGCACCGGACGUCUUUAGAAGAGCGCAGACCGGCCUUGCGGCCUCAGAGGGGCUCCCUUCCGCGCUUCCUGCCACAGCACGAGGCCCGUGAGUCACCGGGCACAGGUGAGGGUCACACUGCGGCCUCGUGUCAAACCCUUGUCUUACCAACCUUCAGAGCCAGGAGCCGAAAGUCAACGGUGCCUUGCCUUGGGGUUUGCCGGAACGAACCGCGCUUCGGCGAGGUUUUUGGUGCACACGGCCCAUUUGACUUGUGUGUGUGUGUGUGUGUGUGUGUGUGUACGUGUGCUCACACACACGUCACGCAGAAUGUCCCACAGUGACCGCUCGGGAUCGUACGUUCACUGGCAGUGACCACAUCCACGCUCUCGCGCCACCAUCCCCACCGCCCGCCCCCCAAACGCUUUCAUCGUCCCGUGCGACGAUCACUCUGAGCCGCUAAAUGAUAGCUCCCCGCCCCCACCCGGGCCCCGGCAGCCACCAUGCCCCCCCCAUCCCCGUGAGUGAGCGGCGCUGGCCUGCCUCGUGUACGUGAACUGCGGCUCAUGUCCCCGAGCGCGGUGUCCUCGAGGUUCAUCCGGGCCGCCUCCUGUGUCACAACCUCCUUCCCUUUCAAGGCUACGCGGUAUUUCAUCCCGUGUGUAAACCACACUUUGUGGAUCCCCUGGCUUGUCGGUGCACGGCACCUCGCGUGUGCCUUCUGGCCGUAGCGGGAACCGCUGGUGUGCACGUGGGUGUGCAAGUAUCUGCCGAGUCCCUGCUGGCGUUCUUUCGGACCCACGCCUGUCAGCGGAGCUGCGGGCUCAUGUCCAUCUGAGGCCGUGAAGGACAUACUGGUUGUGAGGGAAGGAGAAAGGGGGGACGGAAACGAGGUCUUGUUACCGAGAGUCGCUGAAGGCAGGCUUUGGUUUCGGGAUUGCUCCCCCUCUGCUCACACACGCCUCGGGGCACACACGUGCUCCCACACAUGCACACACACGCACACCUACACAUCACACACUCAUACACACACACACACAUAUACACGCACGCUCAAUACUCGCACAUACGCACACACGUGCACACGAUGCACCCACACCACACACACACGUGCUUACGCGUCACGCUUACACUCGCUCACAUGCACAUAUACAUACACACGCUCGUGCUCACACAUACAUGCACUUACACAUCACACUGACACA
Molecule: long non-coding RNA, 2809 nt
Organism: Acinonyx jubatus (cheetah)
Lineage: Eukaryota; Metazoa; Chordata; Mammalia; Carnivora; Felidae
Exons: 4
Source: RefSeq, a predicted model, not a curated record